RNAcentral lists this ribosomal RNA (253 nucleotides) under uncultured bacterium. RNAcentral describes it as "partial 16S ribosomal RNA". It matches the Rfam family "Bacterial small subunit ribosomal RNA", at positions 524 to 776 of the family's 1533-position model. The record is from RNAcentral.
UACGAGGGGGGCAAGCGUUGUUCGGAUUCAUUGGGCGUAAAGGGUGCGUAGGCGGCGCGGUAAGUCGGGUGUGAAAUCUUGGAGCUUAACUCCGAAACUGCAUUCGAUACUGCCGUGCUUGAGGACUGGAGAGGAGACUGGAAUUUACGGUGUAGCGGUGAAAUGCGUAGAUAUCGUAAGGAAGACCAGUGGCGAAGGCGGGUCUCUGGACAGUUCCUGACGCUGAGGCACGAAGGCCAGGGGAGCAAACGGG